Molecule: ribosomal RNA, 490 nt
Filed under: Acinetobacter baumannii
Lineage: Bacteria; Pseudomonadati; Pseudomonadota; Gammaproteobacteria; Moraxellales; Moraxellaceae
Description: bacterial SSU rRNA
Rfam family: Bacterial small subunit ribosomal RNA
Source: RNAcentral
GAUUGAACGCUGGCGGCAGGCUUAACACAUGCAAGUCGAGCGGGGGAAGGUAGCUUGCUACUGGACCUAGCGGCGGACGGGUGAGUAAUGCUUAGGAAUCUGCCUAUUAGUGGGGGACAACAUCUCGAAAGGGAUGCUAAUACCGCAUACGUCCUACGGGAGAAAGCAGGGGAUCUUCGGACCUUGCGCUAAUAGAUGAGCCUAAGUCGGAUUAGCUAGUUGGUGGGGUAAAGGCCUACCAAGGCGACGAUCUGUAGCGGGUCUGAGAGGAUGAUCCGCCACACUGGGACUGAGACACGGCCCAGACUCCUACGGGAGGCAGCAGUGGGGAAUAUUGGACAAUGGGGGGAACCCUGAUCCAGCCAUGCCGCGUGUGUGAAGAAGGCUUAUGGUUGUAAAGCACUUUAAGCGAGGAGGAGGUACUUUAGUUAAUACCUAAAGAUAUUGGCGUUACUCCAGAUAAGCACCGGCUAACUCUUGCAACACCGGG